CUCGCCUGCCACGCGGGAGGCCCGGG
Molecule: non-coding RNA, 26 nt
Filed under: Bos taurus (domestic cattle)
Lineage: Eukaryota; Metazoa; Chordata; Mammalia; Artiodactyla; Bovidae
Also listed under: 3 other names
Source: RNAcentral